This 804-nucleotide ribosomal RNA is filed under the name uncultured bacterium. RNAcentral's name for it is "bacterial SSU rRNA". It matches the Rfam family "Bacterial small subunit ribosomal RNA", at positions 541 to 1343 of the family's 1533-position model. The record is from RNAcentral.
UUAAUCGGAAUUACUGGGCGUAAAGCGAGUGUAGGUGGCUCAUUAAGUCACAUGUGAAAUCCCCGGGCUUAACCUGGGAACUGCAUGUGAUACUGGUGGUGCUAGAAUAUGUGAGAGGGAAGUAGAAUUCCAGGUGUAGCGGUGAAAUGCGUAGAGAUCUGGAGGAAUACCGAUGGCGAAGGCAGCUUCCUGGCAUAAUAUUGACACUGAGAUUCGAAAGCGUGGGUAGCAAACAGGAUUAGAUACCCUGGUAGUCCACGCCGUAAACGAUGUCUACUAGCCGUUGGGGUCCUUGAGACUUUAGUGGCGCAGUUAACGCGAUAAGUAGACCGCCUGGGGAGUACGGCCGCAAGGUUAAAACUCAAAUGAAUUGACGGGGGCCCGCACAAGCGGUGGAGCAUGUGGUUUAAUUCGAUGCAACGCGAAGAACCUUACCUGGUCUUGACAUAGUGAGAAUCCUUCAGAGAUGAGAGAGUGCCUUCGGGAAUUCACAUACAGGUGCUGCAUGGCUGUCGUCAGCUCGUGUCGUGAGAUGUUGGGUUAAGUCCCGCAACGAGCGCAACCCUUUUCCUUAUUUGCCAGCGGGUUAAGCCGGGAACUUUAAGGAUACUGCCAGUGACAAACUGGAGGAAGGCGGGGACGACGUCAAGUCAUCAUGGCCCUUACGACCAGGGCUACACACGUGCUACAAUGGUAGGUACAGAGGGUUGCUACACAGCGAUGUGAUGCUAAUCUCAAAAAGCCUAUCGUAGUCCGGAUUGGAGUCUGCAACUCGACUCCAUGAAGUCGGAAUCGCUAGUAAUC